CAUUCAAGUUUGACAGCAGUACAAUCAGUUUUCCAUUCAUCACUGGCCCUGUUUUAACCCUGCUGAAAAAGGGCCUAAUGUACGUGGCAGUGAUGGCAAUUAGGCAGAAAAGUAAUAUUAGAAACAGACAAAAGCCUGAGUCUUUUAGCAUUACAGGUGUUUUUUUUUUUUUUUAGCCCGUUCUAGACAUAAAGGAAUAGGCAGUGUUGUUAAGUUCCCUUCUUCAGUCUUCUCUUAAGCUGAAAGUCCAACGAUUUCAAGAUUCAAUUAAUUAGAGACAUGGAGAGCCAAAGUACAAGAUACCUGUACGGAGAACUUGGGAGGCAUUUUUAUAAGCUCAUUGUCAAGUGAAUGUUAAAGUCCCCAUUCACUGAGAAGCAAAGGGUGAAGAAGUGAGACCCUACAUGGCUUUUUAGUGCAUUGAUGGAGCAGAGACACGUCUAUGAACAACUGCCUAUGCAAACUGAUUACUCGGCAGUAUAAUUUAUCAGUUUGUAUGAGUAAGUGAGUGCUUCUCACUAUGGAUUUAGCUUGCACUUCAAUUUAGAACUAGAAGGAAUAAGUGGAAAUCAGGAGAAAUAUUAAAGACAUUCCAGUGUCACUGAGCAUGCCGAAACCUGAAAACAUGUUCCAUUAUCUUGCUUUGGAUUUAUGGAAAUUCUGAACAGUGAUGUGAGAGUGACUACAGUUUGAAGUAUCUGUUAAAUACAGCAACAUGACAUCACAAGGAUUGUUUUGGAGUCUUCUGGAUAUGAGAACAUUAUAAAAGUAACACUGAGGUAAGCACUCUUUUCAACCCUGUUUUAGGAAGGAGGAAGCUGAAGCCAUGCACUUGGAAGUGGUGGGAUGAUUACUUGAGUCUGGAGCUGUUUGACAUUACAGUCUCUACUUUUAACUACAAUACCAGAUGGCCUCUCAAUUGAUACCCAUUUUUUAAAAAUCUGAGUUAUUGCCUGUAGCAAUACAUAACAACAAUAGCUGCAAGAUUUCUGAGUUAUUCAGAAAGAUUUUUCAUUCUGUUUAUAUCAGAGAUGAGACUAGAGUUUAUCAUUUUUGGUCUU
This 1061-nucleotide long non-coding RNA is filed under the name Homo sapiens (human). Its description in RNAcentral is "HSALNT0376164". The record is from RNAcentral. Lineage: Eukaryota; Metazoa; Chordata; Mammalia; Primates; Hominidae.